Molecule: ribosomal RNA, 464 nt
Filed under: Vreelandella stevensii
Lineage: Bacteria; Pseudomonadati; Pseudomonadota; Gammaproteobacteria; Oceanospirillales; Halomonadaceae
Description: partial 16S ribosomal RNA
Rfam family: Bacterial small subunit ribosomal RNA
Source: RNAcentral
CCUACGGUGGCUGCAGUGGGGAAUAUUGGACAAUGGGCGAAAGCCUGAUCCAGCCAUGCCGCGUGUGUGAAGAAGGCCUUCGGGUUGUAAAGCACUUUCAGUGGGGAAGAAAGCCUUGGGGCUAAUACCCUCGAGGAAGGACAUCACCCACAGAAGAAGCACCGGCUAACUCCGUGCCAGCAGCCGCGGUAAUACGGAGGGUGCGAGCGUUAAUCGGAAUUACUGGGCGUAAAGCGCGCGUAGGCGGUCUGAUAAGCCGGUUGUGAAAGCCCCGGGCUCAACCUGGGAACGGCAUCCGGAACUGGCAGGCUAGAGUGCAGGAGAGGAAGGUAGAAUUCCCGGUGUAGCGGUGAAAUGCGUAGAGAUCGGGAGGAAUACCAGUGGCGAAGGCGGCCUUCUGGACUGACACUGACGCUGAGGUGCGAAAGCGUGGGUAGCAAACAGGAUUAGAUACCCUGGUAGUC